GCCUACGGGGGGCAGCAGUGAGGAAUAUUGGUCAAUGGUCGGGUGACUGAACCAGCCAAGCCGCGUGAGGGAUGAAGGUACAGAGUAUCGUAAACCUCUUUUGUCAGGGAACAAAGGCGGGGACGUGUCCCCGGAUGAGUGUACCUGAAGAAAAAGCAUCGGCUAACUCCGUGCCAGCAGCCGCGGUAAUACGGAGGAUGCGAGCGUUAUUCGGAUUUAUUGGGUUUAAAGGGUGCGCAGGCGGUCUGUUAAGUCAGCGGUCAAAGCCCGGGGCUCAACCCCGGCCCGCCGUUGAAACUGGCAGU
This 305-nucleotide ribosomal RNA is filed under the name uncultured bacterium. Its description in RNAcentral is "bacterial SSU rRNA". It matches the Rfam family "Bacterial small subunit ribosomal RNA", at positions 337 to 640 of the family's 1533-position model. The record is from RNAcentral.